RNAcentral lists this ribosomal RNA (253 nucleotides) under uncultured bacterium. RNAcentral's name for it is "partial 16S ribosomal RNA". It matches the Rfam family "Bacterial small subunit ribosomal RNA", at positions 524 to 776 of the family's 1533-position model. The record is from RNAcentral.
UACGUAGGAAGCAAGCGUUGUCCGGAAUCACUGGGCGUAAAGCGCGUGUAGGCGGUACGGCAAGUCUGCUGUGAAAGCUCUCGGCUUAACCGGGCGAGGUCGGUGGAAACUGCCGCACUGGAGGACGGUAGAGGGGGGUGGAAUUCCCGGUGUAGUGGUGAAAUGCGUAGAGAUCGGGAGGAACACCGGUGGCGAAGGCGGGUCUCUGGGCAUCUCCUGACGCUGAGGCGCGAAAGCGUGGGGAGCAAACGGG